RNAcentral lists this ribosomal RNA (448 nucleotides) under uncultured bacterium. RNAcentral describes it as "partial 16S ribosomal RNA". It matches the Rfam family "Bacterial small subunit ribosomal RNA", at positions 355 to 825 of the family's 1533-position model. The record is from RNAcentral.
UGGGGAAUAUUGGACAAUGGGCGCAAGCCUGAUCCAGCCAUGCCGCGUGAGUGACGAAGGUCUUCGGAUUGUAAAGCUCUUUUUGGCGGGGACGAUAAUGACGGUACCCGCAGAAUAAGCCCCGGCUAACUUCGUGCCAGCAGCCGCGGUAAUACGAAGGGGGCUAGCGUUGUUCGGAAUCACUGGGCGUAAAGCGCACGUAGGCGGACUCGUAAGUGUCGUGUGAAAGCCCACUGCUUAACGGUGGAACCGCACGGCAAACUGCAAGUCUCGAGGAAGGUAGAGGCCGGUAGAACGAUUGGUGGAGCGGUGGAAUGCGUAGAUAUCAAUCGGAAUGCCAAAGGUGAAGACAGCCGGCUGGGCCUUUCCUGACGCUGAGGCACGAAAGCGUGGGGAGCAAACAGGAUUAAAUACCCAUGUAGUCCCUGAGCGGGCUGGCAAGGCGCAU